Molecule: ribosomal RNA, 598 nt
Filed under: Haemophilus influenzae
Lineage: Bacteria; Pseudomonadati; Pseudomonadota; Gammaproteobacteria; Pasteurellales; Pasteurellaceae
Description: bacterial SSU rRNA
Rfam family: Bacterial small subunit ribosomal RNA
Source: RNAcentral
CUGACGAGUGGCGGACGGGUGAGUAAUGCUUGGGAAUCUGGCUUAUGGAGGGGGAUAACGACGGGAAACUGUCGCUAAUACCGCGUAUUAUCGGAAGAUGAAAGUGCGGGACUGAGAGGCCGCAUGCCAUAGGAUGAGCCCAAGUGGGAUUAGGUAGUUGGUGGGGUAAAUGCCUACCAAGCCUGCGAUCUCUAGCUGGUCUGAGAGGAUGACCAGCCACACUGGAACUGAGACACGGUCCAGACUCCUACGGGAGGCAGCAGUGGGGAAUAUUGCGCAAUGGGGGGAACCCUGACGCAGCCAUGCCGCGUGAAUGAAGAAGGCCUUAGGGUUGUAAAGUUCUUUCGGUAUUGAGGAAGGUUGAUGUGUUAAUAGCACAUCAAAUUGACGUUAAAUACAGAAGAAGCACCGGCUAACUCCGUGCCAGCAGCCGCGGUAAUACGGAGGGUGCGAGCGUUAAUCGGAAUAACUGGGCGUAAAGGGCACGCAGGCGGUUAUUUAAGUGAGGUGUGAAAGCCCCGGGCUUAACCUGGGAAUUGCAUUUCAGACUGGGUAACUAGAGUACUUUAGGGAGGGGUAGAAUUCCACGUGUAGCGGU